CCCCGGCCCGGCCCGGUUCCUCCAUCGCCCUGCGGGACCUGCAGCGGCACAAGCCCGGCUCGGCCCCGGUGAGCUCGGUGUCGGCGGAGGCGCUGGGCACGGGGGGUCCCCCGGAACGCGGCCAGACCCCCCGAGCCGAGGGGCUGGGGGCGAGGCGCCGCAGGGAAGGGGCCCAGCAGCGGCGGCAGCGGGUGGGCACCCGUGGGUGCUGCUCCGAGCGCUUCGAGGUGGCCACGCUGCUCUAGGUGGUCCCCCGUGGGGGGGAGGAAAUAAAGAAGCGUGAGAGCA
Non-coding RNA from Lonchura striata (white-rumped munia), 288 nucleotides. The record is from RefSeq and is a predicted model, not a curated record. Lineage: Eukaryota; Metazoa; Chordata; Aves; Passeriformes; Estrildidae.